This 671-nucleotide ribosomal RNA is filed under the name uncultured bacterium. RNAcentral describes it as "bacterial SSU rRNA". It matches the Rfam family "Bacterial small subunit ribosomal RNA", at positions 65 to 744 of the family's 1533-position model. The record is from RNAcentral.
AGCGAAGCUUUUCAGUAGUUUACUACAGAAAAUGACUGAGCGGCGAACGGGUGAGUAACGCGUGAGCAACCUACCUUAGUUACUGGGAUAGCCCGAGGAAACUCGGAUUAAUACCGGAUAUUCUUAUUUAAUCACAUGAUUAUUUAAGGAAAGGUCAGCCGAACUAAGAUGGGCUCGCGUUCUAUCAGCUAGUUGGUAGGGUAAUGGCCUACCAAGGCUACGACGGAUAGCUGGUCUGAGAGGACGAUCAGCCACACUGGGACUGAGACACGGCCCAGACUCCUACGGGAGGCUGCAGCAGGGAAUAUUGCGCAAUGAGCGAAAGCUUGACGCAGCGACACCGCGUGUGGGAUGACGGAUCUAGGUUUGUAAACCACUUUCAGGAGGGAAGAAAAUGACGGUACCUCCACAAGAAGCCCCGGCCAACUACGUGCCAGCAGCCGCGGUAAUACGUAGGGGGCGAGCGUUGUCCGGAUUUAUUGGGCGUAAAGAGCUCGUAGGCGGUUCAACAAGUCGGUCGUGAAAGUUCAGGGCUCAACCCUGAAAUGUCGAUCGAUACUGUUGUGACUAGGAUACGGUAGAGGUGAGUGGAAUUCCGAGUGUAGCGGUGAAAUGCGUAGAUAUUCGGAGGAACACCAAUUGCGAAGGCAGCUCACUGGGCCGCUAUCGAC